AAUAUACUCCCUCCGUCCGGAAAAGCUUGUCCCAAACAUGUCUAUCAAAUGGAUGUAUUUAGCACUAACCUGGUGCUAGAUACAUUCAUUUGAGGGACAAGUUUUUUCUGGACGAAGGGAGUAGGUA
Non-coding RNA from Triticum aestivum (bread wheat), 127 nucleotides. The record is from Rfam. NCBI's taxonomy places the organism in Eukaryota, Viridiplantae, Streptophyta, Magnoliopsida, Poales, Poaceae.